GACGAACGCUGGCGGCGUGCCUAAUACAUGCAAGUCGAACGAACCGCGACUGAGUGCUUGCACUUGGUCAAGGUGAGUGGCGAACGGGUGAGUAACAAGUGGGUAACCUACCUCAUAGUGGGGGAUAACAGUCGGAAACGACUGCUAAUACCGCAUUGGACAUAGGAUCACAUGAUCCAGUGAGGAAAGGUGGCGCAAGCUAUCGCUAAGAGAUGGACCCGCGGUGCAUUAGCUAGUUGGUGGGGUAAAGGCCUACCAAGGGGAUGAUGCAUAGCCGACCUGAGAGGGGGAUCGGCAACAUUGGGGCUGAGACGCGGCCCAAACUCCGACGGGAGGCAGCAGUAGGGAAUCUUCCGAAAUGGACGCAAGUCUGACGGAGCAACGCCGCGUGAGUGAAGAAGGUCUGCGGAUCGUAAAGCUCUGUUGUUAGAGAAGAACAGCGCAUAGAGUAACUGCUAUGCGUGUGACGGUAUCGAACCAGAAAGCCACGGCUAACUACGU
This 501-nucleotide ribosomal RNA is filed under the name uncultured bacterium. Its description in RNAcentral is "partial 16S ribosomal RNA". It matches the Rfam family "Bacterial small subunit ribosomal RNA", at positions 28 to 506 of the family's 1533-position model. The record is from RNAcentral.